This 320-nucleotide ribosomal RNA is filed under the name uncultured Chloroflexota bacterium. RNAcentral describes it as "bacterial SSU rRNA". It matches the Rfam family "Bacterial small subunit ribosomal RNA", at positions 28 to 351 of the family's 1533-position model. The record is from RNAcentral. Lineage: Bacteria; Bacillati; Chloroflexota.
GAUGAACGCUGGCGGCGUGCCUAACCCAUGUAAGUCGGGCGAUCUUUGUAGCAAUACGGAGAGAGCGGCGGAAGGGUGAGUAACACGUAGAAGACCUACCUCACUGCAGGGAACAACUUCGCGAAAGCGGAGCUAAUACCCAAAAGGUUCGGACAUUCAAUUGUUCGAGCAGAGUUCGCAAGAGCGUAGUGAGAGGGUUCUGCGGCCCAUCAGCUAGUUGGUAGGGUAGUGGCCUACCAAGGCAACGACGGGUAGGGGGUCUGAGAGGACGAUCCCCCACACUGGAACUGAAACACGGUCCAUACACCUACGGGAGGCUG